GCAUCUUCCAAAAAUGACAUGUGACCAUGAACUUGCACUAACUUCCUAUUCACCUGUGAAAAUACUCGCUUAAUUUUAUGUAUUUGUGUUUUUCUGAUCGUUAGGAUGUGGUUAGAUUAAUAAAUGCAAUUAUUAAAUUGCUAUUUGGAAACAGCUUGUGGAUUAAUUGAUUUUCCAAUGCAGAUGUCAUGAAAAGGAAUCCUGCUAUGAAGAGACAGUACAGGCCUGCAGUUUGGGUGAUGGCUUUUCUUGAUUGCAGGUUGGCAGGUGUCCUGUGUUUGGUGUCGUGCAGCUGAAGGUGUUGCCAUGGAAAAAUCUUCUCCCAGACACUCCUGGGCAAAGGUCAGACCUGAAUCACUGACUGUUAUCAUACCUGAGAUGAGCUCUUAAAAAAAACACCUGCAGAGACGGAGCAUGAUGUGCCGCUGUACUUCAAAUUAGAAUUCCAGCCUCACACUUAUGGUUGGCAAAAUUAUAAACCCACACCAUGAGUCUGAAUCUGCCAUAAGAUAUCUUGGUUCCUAUU
This is a long non-coding RNA of Cyprinus carpio (common carp), 526 nucleotides long. RefSeq lists it as uncharacterized. The transcript is spliced from 3 exons. The record is from RefSeq and is a predicted model, not a curated record. Lineage: Eukaryota; Metazoa; Chordata; Actinopteri; Cypriniformes; Cyprinidae.